GCCGAGGUAGCUCAGUUGGUAGAGCAGCGGAUUGAAAAUCCGCGUGUCGGCAGUUCGAUUCUGUCCCUCGGCACCA
RNAcentral lists this transfer RNA (76 nucleotides) under Pseudomonadota bacterium. RNAcentral's name for it is "Proteobacteria bacterium (groundwater metagenome) tRNA-Phe". It matches the Rfam family "tRNA". Rfam says of the family: Transfer RNA (tRNA) molecules are approximately 80 nucleotides in length. Their secondary structure includes four short double-helical elements and three loops (D, anti-codon, and T loops). Lineage: Bacteria; Pseudomonadati; Pseudomonadota. The record is from RNAcentral.